This 393-nucleotide ribosomal RNA is filed under the name uncultured bacterium. Its description in RNAcentral is "partial 16S ribosomal RNA". It matches the Rfam family "Bacterial small subunit ribosomal RNA", at positions 523 to 918 of the family's 1533-position model. The record is from RNAcentral.
AUACGGAGGAUCCGAGCGUUAUCCGGAUUUAUUGGGUUUAAAGGGAGCGUAGGCGGGAGAUCAAGUCAGCUGUGAAAUGUAGAUGCUCAACAUCUGCACUGCAGUUGAAACUGGUUUUCUUGAGUGCGUAAGGGGCAGGCGGAAUUCGUCGUGUAGCGGUGAAAUGCUUAGAUAUGACGAAGAACUCCGAUCGCGAAGGCAGCCGGCCGGGCCGCGACUGACGCUGAAGCUCGAAGGUGCGGGUAUCGAACAGGAUUAGAUACCCUGGUAGUCCGCACAGUAAACGAUGGAUACUCGCUGUCGGCGAUAUACGGUCGGUGGCCAAGCAAAAGCGUUAAGUAUCCCACCUGGGGAGUCCGCCGGCAACGGUGAAACUUAAAGGAAUUGACGGGG